UUAUAAGAGCUCCGGUUACGGUGCUUUUAAAUACACCAAGCACUUUGUGCUUGUAAGUUUCUCACCGUUAGAUCUACUCUUUUAAUUAUUUCACCCGUUAGAUCAUACUAUUAAUUUAGUUAAUCACCUAUUUAAUUCAAUGACCGAAAACUAAUUAUAAGCACUAACGAUUUGAUAUUUUUAAAAGUAUAAAAGCUCAAUUAUAUAUAUAUAUAUAUAGAGAGAGAGAGAGAGAGAGAGAGAGAGAGAGAGAGAGAGAGAGAGAGAGAGAGAGAGAGAGAGUUGGACUGGGCUACUAUUAGUAGCAAAAUUUCAUUAUUGCUAUCAGUUUUUUAGGCUUUGGAUCAACUCUUUUCAUUAUUUCUAACCAUUUGAUUAAAUACUAUAAUCCAGUGGGAACCACUCAACCCUAGAGGGAUCACUCAACUCUAACUGAUUAAUAUCAUCCUGACCCUACAAUUUUUUACCCAAGGAUUAAAAACUUGAUAGCAAAAAGAGCGUUUUACUAUUAAUAGUAUUUCAAUCUAAUUCUAUAUAUAUAUAUAGAAAGUU
RNAcentral lists this long non-coding RNA (552 nucleotides) under Ananas comosus (pineapple). Its description in RNAcentral is "long non-coding RNA (ACOM_LNC032194)". The record is from RNAcentral. Lineage: Eukaryota; Viridiplantae; Streptophyta; Magnoliopsida; Poales; Bromeliaceae.